GGCCCAAAUUUGAAGUAAAGUCGAUUAGUACGAUCAUAUGACUAUACUGACGUACUCUACUUCAAGUUUGCGCCC
Molecule: microRNA precursor, 75 nt
Filed under: Haemonchus placei
Lineage: Eukaryota; Metazoa; Nematoda; Chromadorea; Rhabditida; Trichostrongylidae
Description: mir-5928 microRNA precursor family
Rfam family: mir-5928 microRNA precursor family
Source: Rfam by way of RNAcentral